RNAcentral lists this long non-coding RNA (646 nucleotides) under Homo sapiens (human). Its description in RNAcentral is "long intergenic non-protein coding RNA 1505". Lineage: Eukaryota; Metazoa; Chordata; Mammalia; Primates; Hominidae. The record is from RNAcentral.
AGUCCAGGUAAUGGAGCAGAGACUGGAGCAGAGACAAGUUGUUCCCACUGAGCUCUCCUCAGAUUACAGAUUGGGAGUGGCAAAUCAAAGGCAUUGCAGCCUCUUUCAUCACUGCCGAUUGCUGAUGCCAACCAUGUGCCAAGUGCUUAAUACGUCACCUUAAAUCUUCUCAUCCACCCUCAGAGUAGCUGCAGCAUCAACCCAGUGCCCUGACUUUCAAGACGACUAUGAAAACACCCCAACUGCUGCUAAAUUACCAGCAACAAGGAUCUGAAAAGAAAGCUCAUGUGCACACAGACAUGGCUUUUCACCUACAAGUUUAAGGUAUUCAUCUCAUCACAUCUGUGGACUUCUUCGUGUUCAGGGAUACCAAGUAACAAACUAUAGCAUCAUCUCUGGUCCAGGACAUUCUUAUUCAAAAGAAAGAACACCGAAAUUGACCUUACCCUGACAAUAUGAUGGCUGAAGGAUUUAUGAUCACUUAUAACAUUUGAAAUUGAGGCGGAACCUGAAGAAUAAGACUCUGGUGAAAGGUCCUAUUUAUGCUUUUGAUGUCUUUCACUUGGACAUUUACCACAUGCCUAUUGGUAGGUUUGUUACAUAGGUCAGUUAAGGUGAUACAAGAAUAAAUAAAACACUAUCCCUA